AAGGCAAACAAAAAAGGGAUCUGCCUCGAAUCAAAACGAUUUCUCCUUUCUUUUCUACGCUACGAGAUUUCUUCUCUUAUGAAAUUUCGAGUUUGAUCGAGGGAACCCUCGGCUAAAGCUCUUUCUCUUGCUUGACUUGACUAAGCCUACGUCUCGUUAGUGUAGUUUUGUCCAUGGGGCAGGAGUCUGUUUCACACCCUCCGUUAGCUCCUAAAUCAAGUGUAGUUCCGUCAGUUAUGCCUAAAUAUGGCUACUCGCUAAUGUAGGCUUUCAUUGACGUUUCCUACUUCUAUCUAUAACCGUCAAAGCCUACUGGGGCCGGCCCUUAAGUUGAAAUAUCGUAAGAGAUAUAUUAGGUAAGUCACGAUAACUGAACACAGGCUCAAUCUUUCGACGAUUGAAUGAAAUGAAAGAUUGAAUUAAAGAAGCAUGCCAUCACAAAAAAAG
This 447-nucleotide long non-coding RNA is filed under the name Phoenix dactylifera (date palm). RNAcentral's name for it is "long non-coding RNA (PDAC_LNC011650)". The record is from RNAcentral. Lineage: Eukaryota; Viridiplantae; Streptophyta; Magnoliopsida; Arecales; Arecaceae.